RNAcentral lists this ribosomal RNA (2994 nucleotides) under Salmonella enterica subsp. houtenae serovar 50:g,z51:- str. 01-0133. RNAcentral describes it as "bacterial LSU rRNA". It matches the Rfam family "Bacterial large subunit ribosomal RNA". The record is from RNAcentral. Lineage: Bacteria; Pseudomonadati; Pseudomonadota; Gammaproteobacteria; Enterobacterales; Enterobacteriaceae.
AGCGUACACGGUGGAUGCCCUGGCAGUCAGAGGCGAUGAAGGACGUGCUAAUCUGCGAAAAGCGCCGGUAAGGUGAUAUGAACCGUUAUAACCGGCGAUGUCCGAAUGGGGAAACCCAGUGUGAUUCGUCACACUAUCAUUAACUGAAUCCAUAGGUUAAUGAGGCGAACCGGGGGAACUGAAACAUCUAAGUACCCCGAGGAAAAGAAAUCAACCGAGAUUCCCCCAGUAGCGGCGAGCGAACGGGGAGGAGCCCAGAGCCUGAAUCAGCAUGUGUGUUAGUGGAAGCGUCUGGAAAGGCGCGCGAUACAGGGUGAGAGCCCCGUACACAAAAGCGCACGUGCUGUGAGCUCGAUGAGUAGGGCGGGACACGUGGUAUCCUGUCUGAAUAUGGGGGGACCAUCCUCCAAGGCUAAAUACUCCUGACUGACCGAUAGUGAACCAGUACCGUGAGGGAAAGGCGAAAAGAACCCCGGCGAGGGGAGUGAAACAGAACCUGAAACCGUGUACGUACAAGCAGUGGGAGCCCCACCACUAAGCCAGUGGUGAACUCCACAUACGCAUCCUUUGCUGAGGAUACGGUUAACGGAGCGAAAGCGACGUUCAGCCGCAAAAGAAGCAGAGGGGGCUUAGCGGUGGGGUGACUGCGUACCUUUUGUAUAAUGGGUCAGCGACUUAUAUUCUGUAGCAAGGUUAACCGCAUAGGGGAGCCGGAGGGAAACCGAGUCUUAACCGGGCGUUAAGUUGCAGGGUAUAGACCCGAAACCCGGUGAUCUAGCCAUGGGCAGGUUGAAGGUUGGGUAACACUAACUGGAGGACCGAACCGACUAAUGUUGAAAAAUUAGCGGAUGACCUGUGGCUGGGGGUGAAAGGCCAAUCAAACCGGGAGAUAGCUGGUUCUCCCCGAAAGCUAUUUAGGUAGCGCCUCGUGAAUUCAUCUCCGGGGGUAGAGCACUGUUUCGGCCAGGGGGCCAUCCCGGCUUACCAAUCCGAUGCAAACUGCGAAUACCGGAGAAUGUUAUCACGGGAGACACACGGCGGGUGCUAACGUCCGUCGUGAAGAGGGAAACAACCCAGACCGCCAGCUAAGGUCCCAAAGUCAUGGUUAAGUGGGAAACGAUGUGGGAAGGCCCAGACAGCCAGGAUGUUGGCUUAGAAGCAGCCAUCAUUUAAAGAAAGCGUAAUAGCUCACUGGUCGAGUCGGCCUGCGCGGAAGAUGUAACGGGGCUAAACCAUGCACCGAAGCUGCGGCAGCGAACGUAUCACCCAAGACAACUUUACACAGUUGACGACUGACGGAGCGAAGCGACGUCAAAGCGUUUUACAACGUCGAGUUGGCUUAGGGAUACGUUCGUUGGGUAGGGGAGCGUUCUGUAAGCCGUUGAAGGUGUGUCGUGAGGCAUGCUGGAGGUAUCAGAAGUGCGAAUGCUGACAUAAGUAACGAUAAAGCGGGUGAAAAGCCCGCUCGCCGGAAGACCAAGGGUUCCUGUCCAACGUUAAUCGGGGCAGGGUGAGUCGACCCCUAAGGCGAGGCCGAAAGGCGUAGUCGAUGGGAAACGGGUUAAUAUUCCCGUACUUGGUGUUACUGCGAAGGGGGGACGGAGAAGGCUAUGUUGGCCGGGCGACGGUUGUCCCGGUUUAAGCGUGCAGGUGUGUGUUCCAGGUAAAUCCGGUUCACUUUAACACUGAGGCGUGAUGACGAGGCACCACGGUGCUGAAGCAACAAAUGCCCUGCUUCCAGGAAAAGCCUCUAAGCCUCAGGUAACAUCAAAUCGUACCCCAAACCGACACAGGUGGUCAGGUAGAGAAUACCAAGGCGCUUGAGAGAACUCGGGUGAAGGAACUAGGCAAAAUGGUGCCGUAACUUCGGGAGAAGGCACGCUGACACGUAGGUGAAGUGGUUUACCCAUGGAGCUGAAGUCAGUCGAAGAUACCAGCUGGCUGCAACUGUUUAUUAAAAACACAGCACUGUGCAAACACGAAAGUGGACGUAUACGGUGUGACGCCUGCCCGGUGCCGGAAGGUUAAUUGAUGGGGUCAGCGCAAGCGAAGCUCCUGAUCGAAGCCCCGGUAAACGGCGGCCGUAACUAUAACGGUCCUAAGGUAGCGAAAUUCCUUGUCGGGUAAGUUCCGACCUGCACGAAUGGCGUAAUGAUGGCCAGGCUGUCUCCACCCGGGACUCAGUGAAAUUGAACUCGCUGUGAAGAUGCAGUGUACCCGCGGCAAGACGGAAAGACCCCGUGAACCUUUACUAUAGCUUGACACUGAACACUGGUCCUUGAUGUGCAGGAUAGGUGGGAGGCUUUGAAGUGUGGACGCCAGUCUGCAUGGAGCCAUCCUUGAAAUACCACCCUUUAAUGGCUGGUGUUCUAACGUGGGCCCGUGAACCGGGUUGCGGACAGUGUCUGGUGGGUAGUUUGACUGGGGCGGUCUCCUCCUAAAGAGUAACGGAGGAGCACGAAGGUUGGCUAAUCCUGGUCGGACAUCAGGAGGUUAGUGCAAUGGCAUAAGCCAGCUUGACUGCGAGCGUGACGGCGCGAGCAGGUGCGAAAGCAGGUCAUAGUGAUCCGGUGGUUCUGAAUGGAAGGGCCAUCGCUCAACGGAUAAAAGGUACUCCGGGGAUAACAGGCUGAUACCGCCCAAGAGUUCAUAUCGACGGCGGUGUUUGGCACCUCGAUGUCGGCUCAUCACAUCCUGGGGCUGAAGUAGGUCCCAAGGGUAUGGCUGUUCGCCAUUUAAAGUGGUACGCGAGCUGGGUUUAGAACGUCGUGAGACAGUUCGGUCCCUAUCUGCCGUGGGCGCUGGAAGAUUGAGGGGGGCUGCUCCUAGUACGAGAGGACCGGAGUGGACGCAUCACUGGUGUUCGGGUUGUCAUGCCAAUGGCAUUGCCCGGUAGCUACAUGCGGAAGAGAUAAGUGCUGAAAGCAUCUAAGCACGAAACUUGCCCCGAGAUGAAUCUUCCCUGAGCCUUUAAGGCUCCUGAAGGAACGUUGA